GACUGCUAUACAUGCAGUCGAGCGGACAGAUGGGAGCUUGCUCCCUGAUGUUAGCGGCGGACGGGUGAGUAACACGUGGGUAACCUGCCUGUAAGACUGGGAUAACUCCGGGAAACCGGGGCUAAUACCGGAUGGUUGUUUGAACCGCAUGGUUCAGACAUAAAAGGUGGCUUCGGCUACCACUUACAGAUGGACCCGCGGCGCAUUAGCUAGUUGGUGAGGUAACGGCUCACCAAGGCGACGAUGCGUAGCCGACCUGAGAGGGUGAUCGGCCACACUGGGACUGAGACACGGCCCAGACUCCUACGGGAGGCAGCAGUAGGGAAUCUUCCGCAAUGGACGAAAGUCUGACGGAGCAACGCCGCGUGAGUGAUGAAGGUUUUCGGAUCGUAAAGCUCUGUUGUUAGGGAAGAACAAGUGCCGUUCAAAUAGGGCGGCACCUUGACGGUACCUAACCAGAAAGCCACGGCUAACUACGUGCCAGCAGCCGCGGUAAUACGUAGGUGGCAAGCGUUGUCCGGAAUUAUUGGGCGUAAAGGGCUCGCAGGCGGUUUCUUAGUCUGAUGUGAAAGCCCCCGGCUCAACCGGGGAGGGUCAUUGGAAACUGGGGAACUUGAGUGCAGAAGAGGAGAGUGGAAUUCCACGUGUAGCGGUGAAAUGCGUAGAGAUGUGGAGGAACACCAGUGGCGAAGGCGACUCUCUGGUCUGUAACUGACGCUGAGGAGCGAAAGCGUGGGGAGCGAACAGGAUUAGAUACCCUGGUAGUCCACGCCGUAAACGAUGAGUGCUAAGUGUUAGGGGGUUUCCGCCCCUUAGUGCUGCAGCUAACGCAUUAAGCACUCCGCCUGGGGAGUACGCCCCGCAAGACUGAAACUCAAAGGAAUUGACGGGGGCCCGCACAAGCGGUGGAGCAUGUGGUUUAAUUCGAAGCAACGCGAAGAACCUUACCAGGUCUUGACAUCCUCUGACAAUCCUAGAGAUAGGACGUCCCCUUCGGGGGCAGAGUGACAGGUGGUGCAUGGUUGUCGUCAGCUCGUGUCGUGAGAUGUUGGGUUAAGUCCCGCAACGAGCGCAACCCUUGAUCUUAGUUGCCAGCAUUCAGUUGGGCACUCUAAGGUGACUGCCGGUGACAAACCGGAGGAAGGUGGGGAUGACGUCAAAUCAUCAUGCCCCUUAUGACCUGGGCUACACACGUGCUACAAUGGGCAGAACAAAGGGCAGCGAAACCGCGAGGUUAAGCCAAUCCCACAAAUCUGUUCUCAGUUCGGAUCGCAGUCUGCAACUCGACUGCGUGAAGCUGGAAUCGCUAGUAAUCGCGGAUCAGCAUGCCGCG
This 1333-nucleotide ribosomal RNA is filed under the name Bacillus amyloliquefaciens. RNAcentral's name for it is "bacterial SSU rRNA". It matches the Rfam family "Bacterial small subunit ribosomal RNA", at positions 44 to 1361 of the family's 1533-position model. Lineage: Bacteria; Bacillati; Bacillota; Bacilli; Caryophanales; Bacillaceae. The record is from RNAcentral.